GUAGAAUCAUACAUUCCAAGAUAGAGAAUGAUGCUUCACAAGGCCUAUCUCGUCUUCCUUCUUUUCCUAGCCCUUUCAUCUCACGUGAUCAUCUCUUCAAAGGUUGCUGCCGCUGCCCGUCCGGUGAGCAACGGGGGAAGCAGAUCCCCGGUGAUGGCGGUGAGCAAGAUUCGUGUUGAUGGAAGUACAUCCCAGCAUGCCCCUUCAGGAUAUACUCCACCGUGAGCUUUCAAAUGAUCCACGACUAUUAAAUUUUCUAUUCGAUUGCUCCUAAUUUCCGUUGGUGUUUUAUGGAGACAAAGCAAAUGUAAUUCACUUUCGAUCCUAUCCAUGGUUAAGUAGGGUUUUCCACAUACUUCUGUUGAUGGAGCUCAAAUGAAUUCCUUGAAUACACUGUCAAUGGCAAAAGAUUUUAGUUUGGUUUGUUUA
Molecule: long non-coding RNA, 429 nt
Organism: Eucalyptus grandis
Lineage: Eukaryota; Viridiplantae; Streptophyta; Magnoliopsida; Myrtales; Myrtaceae
Exons: 2
Source: RefSeq, a predicted model, not a curated record